This 497-nucleotide ribosomal RNA is filed under the name uncultured bacterium. Its description in RNAcentral is "partial 16S ribosomal RNA". It matches the Rfam family "Bacterial small subunit ribosomal RNA", at positions 28 to 507 of the family's 1533-position model. The record is from RNAcentral.
GAUGAACGCUGGCGGCGUGCCUAAUACAUGCAAGUCGAGCGAACAGACGAGGAGCUUGUGCCUCUGACGUUAGCGGCGGACGGGUGAGUAACACGUGCAUAACCUACCUAUCAGACUGUGAUAACUUCGGGAAACCGGAGCUGAUACCUGCUAAUAUAUUGAACCGCAUGGUUCAAUAGGGAAAUUCGGGUUUUCUUUAACUUGUAGAGGGAUCGCCGCCGCAUUAGCUAGUUGGUAAGGUAACGGCUUACCAAGGCAACGAUGCGUAGCCGACCUGAGAGGAUGAUCGGCCACACUGGAACUGAGACGCGGUCCAGACUCCAACGGGAGGCAGCAGUAGGGAAUCUUCCGCAAUGGGCGAAAGCCUGACGUAGCAACGCCGCGUGAGUGAUGAAGGUCUUCGGAUCGUAAAACUCUGUUAUUAGGAUGGAACAAAUGUGUAAGUAACGAGGCACGUCUUGACGGUACCUAAUCAGAAAGCCACGGCUAACUACGUG